UAUAUAUAUAUAUAUAUAUAUAUAUAUAUAUAUAUAUAUAUAUAUAUAUAUAUAUAGGUAGGUAGGUAGGUAAGUAGACAAAAAUAAUACCUGUACAUUUAGACAAAACAUGGAUAGACAGACAGACAGACAUGUGAGUAGACAGAAAGACAUGUAGAUUGAAAGACAGAAAUAAAAUACUCGUACAUUAUAGACAGACAUAUGGACACAGACAGAUCUAUGUGUAGACCGACAAGUACAGACAAUACAUACAUGUAGCUAGACUGACAGGUACAUAUAGACAGACAGACAUAUAGGUAGGUAAACAGAUAUGACAUGACAGGUACAGACAUGCAGGUAAGUAGACAGAUAGAUAGAUAGACAGACAGAGGCAGAAUAAAACAGAUAGGCAGACAAUAUUCAGUACAGUGGAUGUAAAUGUUUAUACCGAAAUCACCAAUGAUACCAAAAUAAAUCAUGUCAGAUAACCCGAAAAUUCAAGUGAAAAGCAAAAAGAAUCAUUUCAGGCGGGGGAAAAAAACUCGCAACAGCCUGGUUGCAUAAAUUUGCACACCCCUCAACUAAUACUCUGUUAAAGCACUCAGGAAGACUCUCUGAAAUCUCAAAAAUACUCCAGAACCACCAAAUUGUGAGGUGAUCUGUGCCCAGACAUCUUCACAUUAAGUUUUCAGUAGGCUUUAGAUAUGGGCAUUAAAUAUGGGAGAUUUCCAGUUCUAUGUAUGACUUAUUUGGAAUUGUGCUUUGCAUCAAUAUUGUGCUUGAAAGAGAACAUUUGGAUCUAUCCAUGACUCCAUCCCUCUUGAAAA
Molecule: long non-coding RNA, 806 nt
Organism: Silurus meridionalis
Lineage: Eukaryota; Metazoa; Chordata; Actinopteri; Siluriformes; Siluridae
Exons: 2
Source: RefSeq, a predicted model, not a curated record